This 253-nucleotide ribosomal RNA is filed under the name uncultured bacterium. RNAcentral describes it as "partial 16S ribosomal RNA". It matches the Rfam family "Bacterial small subunit ribosomal RNA", at positions 524 to 776 of the family's 1533-position model. The record is from RNAcentral.
GACGUAGGGCGCGAGCGUUGUCCGGAUUUAUUGGGCGUAAAGAGCUCGUAGGCGGCUUGUCGCGUCGACUGUGAAAUCCCGCGGCUCAACUGCGGGUCUGCAGUCGAUACGGGCAGGCUAGAGUUCGGUAGGGGAGACUGGAAUUCCUGGUGUAGCGGUGAAAUGCGCAGAUAUCAGGAAGAACACCGAUGGCGAAGGCAGUUCUCUGGGCCGUAACUGACGCUGAGGAGCGAAAGCGUGGGGAGCGAACAGG